This 694-nucleotide ribosomal RNA is filed under the name uncultured archaeon. Its description in RNAcentral is "bacterial SSU rRNA". It matches the Rfam family "Archaeal small subunit ribosomal RNA", at positions 5 to 715 of the family's 1478-position model. The record is from RNAcentral.
CGGUUGAUCCUGCCGGACUGACUGCUAUCUGAUUGGCACUAAGCCAUGCGAGUCGUUGUAGCAAUACAUGGCGGACUGCUCAGUAUCACAUAGUUAACUUAACCUAUGGAUGGGCAUAACCUCGGGAAACUGAGAAUAAUACCCAAUGGACCACAGUGCCUGGAAUGGCCUGUGGUUGAAAUGAUUUAUCGCCGUAGGAUAGGACUGCGGCCUAUCAGCUUGUUGGUGAGGUAAUGGCCCACCAAGGCUAUAACAGGUACGGGCUCUGAGAGGAGGGGCUCGGAGAUGGGUACUGAGACACGGACCCAGGCCCUAUGGGGCGCAGCAGGCGAGAAACCUUUGCAAUGCGCGAAAGCACGACAAGGUUAAUCCGAGUGUCUCCUGCUAAAGGAGUCUUUUGUCAGUUGUAGAAUCACUGGUGAAUAAGGGGUGGGCAAGUUCUGGUGUCAGCCGCCGCGGUAAAACCAGCACCUCGAGUGGUCAGGAGGUUUAUUGGGCCUAAAGCAUCCGUAGCCGGUUGCAUAAGUUUUCGGUUAAAUCUAUGCGCUUAACGUAUAGGCCGCCGAAAAUACUGUGCAGCUAGGGAGUGGGAGAGGUACACGGUACUCGAUACGACGGGGUAAAAUCUUUGAUCUAUUCGAGACACUGUGGCGAAGGCGUGUACAGAACCGUUCGCGGGAAGAUGAAGUGGGGA